UGAGUAACGCGUGGGAAUCUACCCAUCUCUACGGAACAACUCCGGGAAACUGGAGCUAAUACCGUAUACGUCCUUCGGGAGAAAGAUUUAUCGGAGAUGGAUGAGCCCGCGUUGGAUUAGCUAGUUGGUGGGGUAAUGGCCUACCAAGGCGACGAUCCAUAGCUGGUCUGAGAGGAUGAUCAGCCACACUGGGACUGAGACACGGCCCAGACUCCUACGGGAGGCAGCAGUGGGGAAUAUUGGACAAUGGGCGAAAGCCUGAUCCAGCCAUGCCGCGUGAGUGAUGAAGGCCCUAGGGUUGUAAAGCUCUUUCAACGGUGAAGAUAAUGACGGUAACCGUAGAAGAAGCCCCGGCUAACUUCGUGCCAGCAGCCGCGGUAAUACGAAGGGGGCUAGCGUUGUUCGGAAUUACUGGGCGUAAAGCGCACGUAGGCGGAUACUUAAGUCAGGGGUGAAAUCCCGGGGCUCAACCCCGGAACUGCCUUUGAUACUGGGUAUCUCGAGUCCGGAAGAGGUGAGUGGAAUUCCGAGUGUAGAGGUGAAAUUCGUAGAUAUUCGGAGGAACACCAGUGGCGAA
This 577-nucleotide ribosomal RNA is filed under the name Mesorhizobium sp. A-3-Aveiro. Its description in RNAcentral is "bacterial SSU rRNA". It matches the Rfam family "Bacterial small subunit ribosomal RNA", at positions 107 to 719 of the family's 1533-position model. The record is from RNAcentral. RNAcentral also lists the same sequence under 9 other names. Lineage: Bacteria; Pseudomonadati; Pseudomonadota; Alphaproteobacteria; Hyphomicrobiales; Phyllobacteriaceae.